RNAcentral lists this ribosomal RNA (465 nucleotides) under Eudrilus eugeniae. Its description in RNAcentral is "partial 16S ribosomal RNA". It matches the Rfam family "Bacterial large subunit ribosomal RNA", at positions 1808 to 2574 of the family's 2925-position model. Lineage: Eukaryota; Metazoa; Annelida; Clitellata; Crassiclitellata; Eudrilidae. The record is from RNAcentral.
CAAAAACAUUGCUUUAUGAAUAAAUAUAUAAAGUAUCUCCUGCCCAGUGAUAUAUUCAACGGCCGCGGUAUCCUAACCGUGCGAAGGUAGCAUAAUCACUUGCCUAUUAAUUGUAGGCUAGAAUGAAUGGAUGAACGAAAGAUAAGCUGUCUCAGUUAGUAAUCUAAAAAUUAAUAUCUAAUUGAAGAAGAUUAGAUAAAAUCGAAGGACAAGAAGACCCUAUAGAGCUUUAAUUUUUAACUAUAAAGCUAUAGAAUAAAUAUUGGUUGGGGCGACCAAGGUAUAAAAAAAUCAUCCUUAACUAUCAACGAUAAAUCCAUCUUUAUAAAGACCCUUUUUUAAGAUCAUAAGUUUAGCUACCUUAGGGAUAACAGGCUAAUCCUAUUAAAGAGUCCUUAUCUAUAAUGGGGAUUGGCACCUCGAUGUUGGCUUAGGAUAUAAAUAUGGCGCAAAAGUCAAAUUAAU